GACUGGGGUGAAGUCGUAACAAGGUAACCGUAGGGGAACCUGCGGUUGGAUCACCUCCUUA
This 61-nucleotide ribosomal RNA is filed under the name Klebsiella aerogenes. Its description in RNAcentral is "partial 16S ribosomal RNA". It matches the Rfam family "Bacterial small subunit ribosomal RNA", at positions 1473 to 1533 of the family's 1533-position model. The record is from RNAcentral. Lineage: Bacteria; Pseudomonadati; Pseudomonadota; Gammaproteobacteria; Enterobacterales; Enterobacteriaceae. RNAcentral also lists the same sequence under 18 other names.